This 672-nucleotide ribosomal RNA is filed under the name Triticum aestivum (bread wheat). RNAcentral describes it as "partial small subunit ribosomal RNA". The record is from RNAcentral. Lineage: Eukaryota; Viridiplantae; Streptophyta; Magnoliopsida; Poales; Poaceae.
AUGGCUUGCUCACACUCGGUUGGGUCCCAGUUCUGGAAAUCUAUUCUGGCCAUCAAGGAAGAGAUUAGGCUGGAUUUGCGUUUCUCGGUUGGCAAUGGGUCUGGGACCCAAUUUUGGUUGGACCCAUGGCUUCAGGGCGAGCCUCUCCGCUUGCGGUUCCCAAGGCUCUUUGCGAUUUGUGAUGACCCGGCCAUUCUUGUAUCUUCGGCUGCUUUGGAGAAGGAAUGGAACAUUGCGUUCCGCCGCUCAUUCGGACCAGAUGAGGUAUGAGAAUGGACAGACCUGAGGGAAGUAGUCCCUCUUCCUCUAUCCCAGGACCCUGACACUGUUUCUUGGAGCCUUUCUCCUUCGGGUGAAUUCUCCAUUAGUUCGGCCUAUCAGGCAUUAUGUCGUAUGCCGGUUCUACAGUGGCUAUCCCCAUUGUGGAAGGCACAGUUGCCCUUGAAGAUUAAGAUUUUUGUAUGGCAGCUCCUCCGUGACCGUCUGCCUUCGGGGACCGAGGUGUUGAAACGCCAUGGUCCGGGCAAUGGCCUUUGCCCUUUGUGCCAUGUCCCGGAAAUGGAAACGCACAUUUUGUUCUCUUGCGUAGCAGCGCAGGCACUUUGGUGCUUUGUUCGUGAGGCUCAUGGGCCAACAAAUGGCUCUGGGAGGACGAGUUUUUUCCUAUUAUAA